AUCCUUCCGGCGGCCGAAGUAAUCGACGAACAAGGAGACGGUUUCGUCGUCGUGGGAGAAGGCGGCGUUGGAGUCGAGCCAGUCGUUGAACCCUAGAGCGGCGCGGCCGGCUUCAGGGGAGAGGUUGAGCGUGUGGAGGAUCAGAUCGCGAGUUGGAGCGAUGUGGGAGAAGCUGAGGUGGAACCUCUGGGAGAUGGAGUGGGGAUCGGCUUCGGGGGUUCCGGUGAGCUCCUUGGAGAAGGAGAGAGCGAUCUGAGUCGGGUCUGGAGUUGGUGGAUCCGCCGCAUUGGUUUCGGAUGAGAAGAGUCUUGAAGGGAAUAGAGAGAACCUGGGAGGUGGAGGGUGGGGAAAUGACGUGGUGGGGGAAAUGAUGCGGAGAGGAGGGGCGGAGGAGGAUGAGGUGAAGGUGCGGAGGAGGAGUCGCCGGAGUUGCAGAGACGGUAACGGCGGCGGCAUUUUCGAAUUAGGGUGAGGAAAUGAGAACUCGGGGGAGAGGAGAAGCAAGGCAAGUAAUAUCCAAAACCCUACUUCAUGAAUAGAAUUGGGCUUCACUUUUGGGCUUUUGAAUUGAUUCAGCCUCUUCUGAAUUAAUACUUUAAAAAGUAAAUGUAUUAAGAAUCGUUCGGGGAUGUAGCUCAUAUGGUAGAGCGCUCGCUUCGCAUGCGAGAGGCACGGGGUUCGAUUCCCCGCAUCUCCAAUUUUCUUUUAGACACACGUUGUGUAAAUCUAAAGCUUGAAUCUUCCUCACCAGUUAAACACACUGCAAUAAAAUCUCCGGAAACUUUCACAGAUUUAGGGUUCUUCUUGUCCCUUUCCAAGUCAAAUUCGUAGUUUUUUUUUUUUUUUAAUUUGUUCGCCUAUCCAGUCUUCAUCUCGCCGGGGAGUAAAAAAAAAACAAGUCUUUUGAAUUUUGUAAUCAGGUGAGUAUCUCUCUGUCUUCAAUGAAACCUCAAUUUUUCGCGAUAGCAAAUCCUCGUUUUACCGUUUUGAGUUUCUGAGAAUAGUUUGGGGUUUAAUAAGAAAGUAGCGAUGUUGGCAAUUGAGAUUUAGGUUGGAGAUAAGUUUAGUGUUUUAAGGCGACGAUGAAAUCAUUCAUUGUCUGAUGAACUCUAUGUUCUUUUUGACAGUGACGUUUAGCCUGAGAGAGCACAAAAGGAUGCAUCUUCCCAUGUACACUAGUGGAACCUCUAAUCCUUCACCAGGAAAUGCCCUUCCUAAUCAGAUGCAUUUGCAACAGAAUCAUGCGCCUCCCCACCACGCCCCUCCUCCACCUCCUGCUUCCUCACAGCAGUUUCAUUCUCAUCUUCCACCUGUUUCAAUGUUGCCUCCCCCGCCACCUUUACCUCCUGGUGCCACGCCACUCUCACAAGCAUUCCCUAAUCCGUUUCAUCCUCCACCAAGCUUCCCACUUUCUUUUCCUCUGAAGAGCUUGGAACCUCCUGGGAUGCCUCUUCCUCCACCUCCUCCUUCAUCUUCAUCCCCACUCUUUGCAGACACCGUUUGUGCUAACCCUGAAGCUACAAACCAGGUUGGUGAAACGGUGCCUCUAAACUACAAGUGAAACCUAACUUGGAUGCAACAAGAGAGCAUUUUCAGACAAGUGAAUAACCAAGCAAAAAGCAAAGAACUUUCUUUUAUCUCCGAUUCUUGAGCCAACCCAUAACAAGUGUCUAAACGUUACACUAAGCUGAAAGAUUAUUCGGCUACUGAUCAAAAGUUCACAGUACCUUCUCACAAAACAAUAACAAGGAAAGAAGAACAAAGACUGUUUUGAACCAUAAGAGAAUGCUACCGAUCACAUUCUCCUCCUCAUCUUAUUAUGCGGUUUCUUAACAAAACUCAUGUUGAUCUGCUUGAGCCUUCUCCUCUUCCUCGCGGUCUUCUCAGGCAAAGUCUCCCUCUUCUUCACAUUGCUAUCAACCUCCUUACUCUUCUUCUUCAAAAACCUCGGAUCAACUCUGUACUCCUUAGGACUAACAGCAACACCUCUCCUCGCAGCUUCUUUGUACAAACCAUUAGCUCUAGUCAGCUGGUUAUUCGCACACAUCUUCCCCAUCAACAAAUCAUAAGUCUUGAUCCCAGGCUUACACCCAUCAGCCUUCAUGUUCUUGAACACACUCAUCGCAUGCUCAAGCCUCUCAAUCCCACACAGUAUCUUCAAAAACCCGUAAUACUCCUUCUUAUCCAAAGCCUUACCGUACCCAGCCGACUUCAUCUUAUCAAUCAUUUCAUCUCCUUCUCCGAUCCUAGCCGCCUGAUACAAACUCCUUAUCAAAACAAGAUAAGUCUCAGCAUCCGGCUGACAACCCCAUUCACUCAUUCUACCGAACAACUCCAUCGCCUCUUCGGUUCUCCUGAUCUUAGAGAGAUUGUUAAUCAACACAUUGAAAGUCUUUGUAUUUCUCGGCACGCCACGUGUCUCCAUCUCGAGCAAGACCUUCUCGACUUCGGACUGGAGCCUAAACGGAUCUUUCUUCCUACAAAGCUUACACACACAAUCAAGAAUCACGUUGUAAGCCAACGUACCUAUCUCGAACCCUCCUCUCGCCAUCUCGCCGGCGAAUCUCGUCGCCUCGUCGAGCUUCUCGGCGGCGCACCAGCCGCUGAUCAACAGAUCGCAGAUCUUUUCGUCGGGGAAGAUCUCGUUAGCCGUGCUCUUCACCAUCUUCUCGGCGAAACUCGCGUGUCCUUUCUCGCAGAGCUUCUUCACCACCAAGGUGAGCGACUCUCUGUCUCGUUUCAACCCGUAGUCACUCUCCAUCCUCUCGAAGAACUCGACGGCCUGCUUGGCUCGGCCCGCGCGGACGAGCCUGUCGACGGCGGAGUCUAAAGUUUUAGCUCCGGCGACGCCUUUGUACUUGGCGAUGAUCUCUUGCAUCCCUUUGAAAUCCUUCCGGCGGCCGAAGUAAUCGACGAACAAGGAGACGGUUUCGUCGUCGUGGGAGAAGGCGGCGUUGGAGUCGAGCCAGUCGUUGAACCCUAGAGCGGCGCGGCCGGCUUCAGGGGAGAGGUUGAGCGUGUGGAGGAUCAGAUCGCGAGUUGGAGCGAUGUGGGAGAAGCUGAGGUGGAACCUCUGGGAGAUGGAGUGGGGAUCGGCUUCGGGGGUUCCGGUGAGCUCCUUGGAGAAGGAGAGAGCGAUCUGAGUCGGGUCUGGAGUUGGUGGAUCCGCCGCAUUGGUUUCGGAUGAGAAGAGUCUUGAAGGGAAUAGAGAGAACCUGGGAGGUGGAGGGUGGGGA
This 3236-nucleotide long non-coding RNA is filed under the name Brassica napus (rape). RNAcentral's name for it is "long non-coding RNA (BNAP_LNC002799)". The stretch from base 625 to 697 matches the Rfam family "tRNA". The record is from RNAcentral. Lineage: Eukaryota; Viridiplantae; Streptophyta; Magnoliopsida; Brassicales; Brassicaceae.